UACGUAGGGGGCAAGCGUUGUCCGGAUUUAUUGGGCGUAAAGAGCGUGUAGGCGGCCAGGUAGGUCCGCUGUGAAAACUCGAGGCUCAACCUCGAGAUGUCAUCGGAAACCAUCUGGCUAGAGUCCGGAAGAGGAGAGUGGAAUUCCUGGUGUAGCGGUGAAAUACGUAGAGAUUGGGAAGAACACCAGUGGCGAAGGCGGCUAUCUGGACGGUUUCUGACACUAAGACUCGAAAGCGUGGGGAGCAAACAGG
RNAcentral lists this ribosomal RNA (253 nucleotides) under uncultured bacterium. RNAcentral's name for it is "partial 16S ribosomal RNA". It matches the Rfam family "Bacterial small subunit ribosomal RNA", at positions 524 to 776 of the family's 1533-position model. The record is from RNAcentral.